UGCCUUCCAAUUUAGAGCGGCAAAUCCCGUUGCUUCUCCUCUUGCUUCGAGUUGAGGUCUCCAUCAGUGGGCUUCUUUGCCCUACCAAUCCUCGGAAACGAAAGAGUCGGAGCCUCUUCUGCGUCCCAUGACCUAAAUCAUUGCCUUCAAGACCCAUGAGAAAAGCUCCACUUUGAUGAACUGAGGAGAAGAGGAUCGAUUCUGGCACUGUGAUGCUGUCGCUUUUCGAUAUGGCUCUCAGGAUGUUAUUGCUCGGAAAUGCUUAGAGAUUCUUCUGAUACUGCCAUCAGAGAUGCAGAUUGCCAUGAUCCCUUAUAGUGUCUGGAUUUGCUGAAUCCGAAUCACAAAGAAGUGCUAUGUAAAAGAUUUGGUGGCCCAAGAAAUGUAUCAACACUUGUGAGGAACAAUCCAAUUGUGUUCCCUCAUGAUUGAAGGCUUAGAUAGAUGGAAGGAAUGGAUCAUCAAAUCGGUGUUUGGCCCAUGCAACUGCCAUCUUGUCUUGAAGAAAAAGGUUAAUCUGCUACUUUGAUGAUGCUGGUAAAUUUGGUGAGAGUAUAGCUCCAUCAAGUGCAAUAGGAAACAUGAGACUAGAUGUUCCAAAGCUGGACUUUUCAUUUUUGAAGUCUCUAAUUGUUUCCAGGAAAAAGAAGCUUGUAACAGAUUUACAUGUAGAAUUGGACACCUUUGUGGGUUUUUGUUUAUCAAAGUGAACAAUUUGUAUCAACACUUCUUUUUUCUUAAAUAUAUCCUGUGUUUUAGUGCUAA
Non-coding RNA from Musa acuminata subsp. malaccensis (wild Malaysian banana), 765 nucleotides. The record is from RefSeq and is a predicted model, not a curated record. NCBI's taxonomy places the organism in Eukaryota, Viridiplantae, Streptophyta, Magnoliopsida, Zingiberales, Musaceae.